This 432-nucleotide ribosomal RNA is filed under the name uncultured bacterium. RNAcentral describes it as "partial 16S ribosomal RNA". It matches the Rfam family "Bacterial small subunit ribosomal RNA", at positions 29 to 507 of the family's 1533-position model. The record is from RNAcentral.
ACGAACGCUGGCGGCAUGCCUAACACAUGCAAGUCGAACGAGACCUUCGGGUCUAGUGGCGCACGGGUGCGUAACGCGUGGGAACCUGCCCUUAGGUUCGGAAUAACUCCCCGAAAGGGGUGCUAAUACCGGAUAAUGUCUUCGGACCAAAGAUUUAUCGCCUUUGGAUGGGCCCGCGUUGGAUUAGCUAGUUGGUAGGGUAAAAGCCUACCAAGGCGACGAUCCAUAGCUGGUCUGAGAGGAUGAUCAGCCACACUGGGACUGAGACACGGCCCAGACUCCUACGGGAGGCAGCAGUGGGGAAUAUUGGACAAUGGGCGAAAGCCUGAUCCAGCAAUGCCGCGUGAGUGAUGAAGGCCUUAGGGUUGUAAAGCUCUUUUACCCGGGAUGAUAGUGACAGUACCGGGAGAAUAAGCUCCGGCUAACUCCGUG